GUGGGGAAUAUUGGACAAUGGGGGCAACCCUGAUCCAGCCAUGCCGCGUGUGUGAAGAAGGCCUUCGGGUUGUAAAGCACUUUCAGUAGUGAGAAAGGCUAGCCGGUAAAUAACCGGCUGGAUUGAUGUUAGCUACAGAAGCAGCACCGGCUAACUCCGUGCCAGCAGCCGCGGUAAUACGGAGGGUGCAAGCGUUAAUCGGAAUUACUGGGCGUAAAGCGCGCGUAGGCGGUUUGUUAAGUCGGAUGUGAAAGCCCCGGGCUCAACCUGGGAACUGCUUUCGAUACUGAUAGACUAGAGUACGGUAGAGGGAGGUAGAAUUCCACGUGUAGCGGUGAAAUGCGUAGAGAUGUGGAGGAAUACCAGUGGCGAAGGCGGCCUCCUGGAUCGAUACUGACGCUAAGGUGCGAAAGCGUGGGGAGCAAACAGG
Molecule: ribosomal RNA, 430 nt
Filed under: uncultured bacterium
Lineage: Bacteria
Description: bacterial SSU rRNA
Rfam family: Bacterial small subunit ribosomal RNA
Source: RNAcentral